AUUGAACGCUGGCGGCAGGCUUAACACAUGCAAGUCGAGCGAGCGGCGGACGGGUGAGUAAUGUCUGGGAAACUGCCUGAUGGAGGGGGAUAACUACUGGAAACGGUAGCUAAUACCGCAUACCAUCAGAUGUGCCCAGAUGGGAUUAGCUAGUAGCUGGGGUAAUGGCUCACCUAGGCGACGAUCCCUAGCUGGUCUGAGAGGAUGACCAGGCACACUGGAACGGAGGCACGGUCGAGACUGCUAAGGGAGGCACGAGUGGGGAAUAUGGCACAAUGGGCGCAAGCCUGAGGCAGCCAUGCCGGGGGUGUGAAGAAGGCCUUCGGGUUGUAAAGCACGUUCAGCGAGGAGGCGUUACUCGCAGAAGAAGCACCGGCUAACUCCGUGCCAGCCGCCGCGGUAAUAC
This 406-nucleotide ribosomal RNA is filed under the name uncultured bacterium. Its description in RNAcentral is "partial 16S ribosomal RNA". It matches the Rfam family "Bacterial small subunit ribosomal RNA", at positions 29 to 526 of the family's 1533-position model. The record is from RNAcentral.